GACAGAGGUGGCAAGCGUUGUUCGGAUUUAUUGGGUGUAAAGGGUCCGUAGGUGGCCCUGCAAGUCUGGUGUGAAAUCCCACGGCUCAACCGUGGAACUGCACUGGAAACUGCGGGGCUUGAGACUCGGAGAGGUGAGGGGAAUUCCCGGUGUAAGGGUGAAAUCUGUAGAUAUCGGGAGGAACACCAGUGGCGAAAGCGCCUCACUGGCCGAGUACUGACACUGAGGGACGAAAGCUAGGGGAGCAAACAGG
This 253-nucleotide ribosomal RNA is filed under the name uncultured bacterium. RNAcentral's name for it is "partial 16S ribosomal RNA". It matches the Rfam family "Bacterial small subunit ribosomal RNA", at positions 524 to 776 of the family's 1533-position model. The record is from RNAcentral.